Molecule: ribosomal RNA, 124 nt
Organism: Chelonoidis abingdonii (Abingdon island giant tortoise)
Lineage: Eukaryota; Metazoa; Chordata; Testudines; Testudinidae
Source: Ensembl
UGUAGCACCUACCUGAAGCUGUGCCAUCAGAGGCUGUGAUAGUGUCUCAGCUCACAGGCUAAGCAGCUUAGGAUCUGGUCAGUACUUGGAUGGGAAACCUCAAAGGAAAGCCCAGCUGCUGAAU